AACAAAAACAUGUCCUUUUGGUAUUUAUAUAAGGUCUGACCUGCCCACUGAUUAAUUAAAUGGCCGCAGUAUUUUGACUGUGCAAAGGUAGCAUAAUCAUUAGUUUUUUAAUUAAAAGCUUGUAUGAAGGGUUGGACGAGGUAAAAUCUGUCUCUAUUUAAUUUAUUUUAGAAUUUAAUUUUUAAGUUAAAAAGCUUAAAUUAUUAUAAAAGACGAGAAGACCCUAUAGAUCUUUAUAUUAUUAUAAAUAUUUUUAAUUAGGAAUAUUUUAUUUUUUAUUUAUAUUAAUAUUUUAUUGGGGUAAUAAAAAGAUUAAAAAAAUUCUUUUUAAAAUUUAAUACUAAUUAGUAAUUAUGUGAUCCAAUAUUUUUGAUUGUAAGAUUAAGUUACCUUAGGGAUAACAGCGUAAUUUUUUUUGAGAGUUCAUAUCGAUAAAAAAGUUUGCGACCUCGAUGUUG
This 458-nucleotide ribosomal RNA is filed under the name Copelatus sp. BI-2011. RNAcentral's name for it is "partial 16S ribosomal RNA". It matches the Rfam family "Bacterial large subunit ribosomal RNA", at positions 1806 to 2534 of the family's 2925-position model. Lineage: Eukaryota; Metazoa; Arthropoda; Insecta; Coleoptera; Dytiscidae. The record is from RNAcentral.